GAUGAACGCUGGCGGCGUGCUUAACACAUGCAAGUCGAACGCACCUUCGGGUGAGUGGCGGACGGGUGAGUAACGCGUGGGAAUCUGCCCUCAGGAGGGGGAUAACGGCUGGAAACGGCCGCUAAUACCCCAUAUGCCGAGAGGUGAAAUGAAUUUCGCCUGAGGAUGAGCCCGCGUCUGAUUAGCUAGUUGGUGUGGUAAUGGCGCACCAAGGCUUCGAUCAGUAGCUGGUCUGAGAGGAUGAUCAGCCACACUGGGACUGAGACACGGCCCAGACUCCUACGGGAGGCAGCAGUGGGGAAUUUUCCGCAAUGGGCGAAAGCCUGACGGAGCAACGCCGCGUGAGGGAUGAAGGCCUCUGGGCUGUAAACCUCUUUUCUCAAGGAAGAAGAUCUGACGGUACUUGAGGAAUAAGCCACGGCUAAUUCCGUGCCAGCAGCCGCGGUAAUACGGGAGUGGCAAGCGUUAUCCGGAAUUAUUGGGCGUAAAGCGUCCGCAGGCGGCCUUGUAAGUCUGUCGUUAAAGCGUGGAGCUUAACUCCAUUUCAGCGAUGGAAACUACAAGGCUUGAGUGUGGUAGGGGCAGAGGGAAUUCCCGGUGUAGCGGUGAAAUGCGUAGAUAUCGGGAAGAACACCAGUGGCGAAGGCGCUCUGCUGGGCCAUAACUGACGCUCAUGGACGAAAGCCAGGGGAGCGAAAGGGAUUAGAUACCCCUGUAGUCCUGGCCGUAAACGAUGAACACUAGGUGUCGGGGGAAUCGACCCCCUCGGUGUCGUAGCCAACGCGUUAAGUGUUCCGCCUGGGGAGUACGCACGCAAGUGUGAAACUCAAAGGAAUUGACGGGGGCCCGCACAAGCGGUGGAGUAUGUGGUUUAAUUCGAUGCAACGCGAAGAACCUUACCAGGGUUUGACAUCCUGCGAAUCCCUUGGAAACGAGGGAGUGCCUUCGGGAGCGCAGUGACAGGUGGUGCAUGGCUGUCGUCAGCUCGUGUCGUGAGAUGUUGGGUUAAGUCCCGCAACGAGCGCAACCCACGUCGUUAGUUGCCAGCAUUCAGUUGGGCACUCUAGCGAGACCGCCGGUGAUAAACCGGAGGAAGGUGUGGAUGACGUCAAGUCAUCAUGCCCCUUACAUCCUGGGCUACACACGUACUACAAUGCUACGGACAAAGGGCAGCAAGCUCGCGAGAGUUAGCAAAUCCCAUAAACCGUGGCUCAGUUCAGAUCGUAGGCUGCAACUCGCCUACGUGAAGGAGGAAUCGCUAGUAAUCGCAGGUCAGCAUACUGCGGUGAAUACGUUCCCGGGCCUUGUACACACCGCCCGUCACACCAUGGAAGUUGGCCACGCCCGAAGUCGUUACUCCAACCCGUAAGGGAGGAGGAUGCCGAAGGUGGGGCUGAUGACUGGGGUGAAGUCGUAACAAGG
Molecule: ribosomal RNA, 1422 nt
Filed under: Synechococcus sp. IR48
Lineage: Bacteria; Bacillati; Cyanobacteriota; Cyanophyceae; Synechococcales; Synechococcaceae
Description: bacterial SSU rRNA
Rfam family: Bacterial small subunit ribosomal RNA
Source: RNAcentral